Molecule: non-coding RNA, 259 nt
Filed under: Pyrenochaeta sp. DS3sAY3a
Lineage: Eukaryota; Fungi; Ascomycota; Dothideomycetes; Pleosporales; Cucurbitariaceae
Description: Eukaryotic small subunit ribosomal RNA
Rfam family: Eukaryotic small subunit ribosomal RNA
Source: Rfam by way of RNAcentral
GACUGCUAGGCAGUGAAGUGGAUCCGCGAGACGCCUUCCGGAACAGAGCUUAAAACACCAACCUCAGGUGUUUUUAUUAGAUAAAAAACCAACGCCCUUCGGGGCUUCUUGGUGAUUCAUGAUAACUUUUCGGAUCGCAGAGCCUUGCACUGGUGACGGUUCGAUUGUUCGAUUCCGGAGAGGGAGCGUGAGAAAUGGCUACCGCACCCAAGGAAGGCAGCAGGCGCGAAAAUUACCCAAUCCCGAUUCGUGGAGGUAG